This 859-nucleotide ribosomal RNA is filed under the name Bacillus licheniformis. RNAcentral describes it as "bacterial SSU rRNA". It matches the Rfam family "Bacterial small subunit ribosomal RNA", at positions 59 to 898 of the family's 1533-position model. The record is from RNAcentral. Lineage: Bacteria; Bacillati; Bacillota; Bacilli; Caryophanales; Bacillaceae.
CAGUCGAGCGGACCGACGGGAGCUUGCUCCCUUAGGUCAGCGGCGGACGGGUGAGUAACACGUGGGUAACCUGCCUGUAAGACUGGGAUAACUCCGGGAAACCGGGGCUAAUACCGGAUGCUUGAUUGAACCGCAUGGUUCAAUCAUAAAAGGUGGCUUUUAGCUACCACUUACAGAUGGACCCGCGGCGCAUUAGCUAGUUGGUGAGGUAACGGCUCACCAAGGCGACGAUGCGUAGCCGACCUGAGAGGGUGAUCGGCCACACUGGGACUGAGACACGGCCCAGACUCCUACGGGAGGCAGCAGUAGGGAAUCUUCCGCAAUGGACGAAAGUCUGACGGAGCAACGCCGCGUGAGUGAUGAAGGUUUUCGGAUCGUAAAACUCUGUUGUUAGGGAAGAACAAGUACCGUUCGAAUAGGGCGGCACCUUGACGGUACCUAACCAGAAAGCCACGGCUAACUACGUGCCAGCAGCCGCGGUAAUACGUAGGUGGCAAGCGUUGUCCGGAAUUAUUGGGCGUAAAGCGCGCGCAGGCGGUUUCUUAAGUCUGAUGUGAAAGCCCCCGGCUCAACCGGGGAGGGUCAUUGGAAACUGGGGAACUUGAGUGCAGAAGAGGAGAGUGGAAUUCCACGUGUAGCGGUGAAAUGCGUAGAGAUGUGGAGGAACACCAGUGGCGAAGGCGACUCUCUGGUCUGUAACUGACGCUGAGGCGCGAAAGCGUGGGGAGCGAACAGGAUUAGAUACCCUGGUAGUCCACGCCGUAAACGAUGAGUGCUAAGUGUUAGAGGGUUUCCGCCCUUUAGUGCUGCAGCAAACGCAUUAAGCACUCCGCCUGGGGAGUACGGUCGCAAGACUGAA